AGAACGAACGCUGGCGGCAGGCCUAACACAUGCAAGUCGAACGCUCGUAGCAAUACGGGAGUGGCGCACGGGUGAGUAACGCGUGGGCACCUGCCCGGUGGUUUGGGAUAACCGUGGGAAACUGCGGCUAAUACCGGAUACGCCCCUAGGGGGAAAGAUUUAUCGCCAUCGGAUGGGCCCGCGUAGGAUUAGCUAGUUGGUGAGGUAACGGCUCACCAAGGCUACGAUCCUUAGCUUUUGGCUGAGAGGAUGAUCAGCCACACUGGGACUGAGACACGGCCCAGACUCCUACGGGAGGCAGCAGUGGGGAAUAUUGGACAAUGGGGGCAACCCUGAUCCAGCCAUGCCGCGUGAGUGAAGAAGGCCUUCGGGUGUAAAGCUCUUUGGCGGGGACGAGUGAUGACGGUACCCGCGAGAAAUAAGCACCGGCUAACUCGUAGCCAGCAGCCGC
Molecule: ribosomal RNA, 451 nt
Filed under: uncultured soil bacterium
Lineage: Bacteria
Description: bacterial SSU rRNA
Rfam family: Bacterial small subunit ribosomal RNA
Source: RNAcentral